This 301-nucleotide ribosomal RNA is filed under the name uncultured bacterium. RNAcentral describes it as "partial 16S ribosomal RNA". It matches the Rfam family "Bacterial small subunit ribosomal RNA", at positions 509 to 808 of the family's 1533-position model. The record is from RNAcentral.
CAGUCGCCGCGGUAAUACGUAGGGUGCAAGCGUUAAUCGGAAUUACUGGGCGUAAAGCGUGCGCAGGCGGUUUUGUAAGACAGAGGUGAAAUCCCGGGCUCAACCUGGGAACUGCCUUUGUGACUGCAAGGCUAGAGUACGGCAGAGGGGGAUGGAAUUCCGCGUGUAGCAGUGAAAUGCGUAGAUAUGCGGAGGAACACCGAUGGCGAAGGCAAUCCCCUGGGCCUGUACUGACGCUCAUGCACGAAAGCGUGGGGAGCAAACAGGAUUAGAUACCCCCGUAGUCCCUGUCUCUUAUACA